This 84-nucleotide transfer RNA is filed under the name Candidatus Altimarinota bacterium. RNAcentral's name for it is "tRNA-Leu". It matches the Rfam family "tRNA". From Rfam's summary of the family: Transfer RNA (tRNA) molecules are approximately 80 nucleotides in length. Their secondary structure includes four short double-helical elements and three loops (D, anti-codon, and T loops). Further hydrogen bonds mediate the characteristic L-shaped molecular structure. tRNAs have two regions of fundamental functional importance: the anti-codon, which is responsible for specific mRNA codon recognition, and the 3' end, to which the tRNAs corresponding amino acid is attached (by aminoacyl-tRNA synthetases). tRNAs cope with the degeneracy of the genetic code in two manners: having more than one tRNA (with a specific anti-codon) for a particular amino acid; and 'wobble' base-pairing, i.e. permitting non-standard base-pairing at the 3rd anti-codon position. The record is from RNAcentral. Lineage: Bacteria; Candidatus Altimarinota.
GCCCAGGUGAUGAAAUGGUAGACAUGGAGGACUCAAAAUCCUCUGGUUUGCGCCGUGUGGGUUCGAGUCCCACUCUGGGCACCA